RNAcentral lists this transfer RNA (65 nucleotides) under Aedes aegypti (yellow fever mosquito). It matches the Rfam family "tRNA". From Rfam's summary of the family: Transfer RNA (tRNA) molecules are approximately 80 nucleotides in length. Lineage: Eukaryota; Metazoa; Arthropoda; Insecta; Diptera; Culicidae. The record is from Rfam by way of RNAcentral.
GGCUCGGUAGCUUAGUUGGUAAAGCGCAAGAACAAGAGUCCUGGGUUCGAAUCCCAGCCGAGCAC